Long non-coding RNA from Gossypium raimondii (Peruvian cotton), 1444 nucleotides. RefSeq lists it as uncharacterized. The transcript has 6 exons. Lineage: Eukaryota; Viridiplantae; Streptophyta; Magnoliopsida; Malvales; Malvaceae. The record is from RefSeq and is a predicted model, not a curated record.
CCAAAGUUGCCAUCUGUCAUCCCAUGCACUGCUAGCAAUGGGCGGUGCCUCAAAGAAACAAACCCUAAAAAACUUAAACGGCGCCUUAAACAUCCUAAAACUGAAAAACAACAGAUCAAUUUCCUAAAAAAACUAAAACAAAGAAAAAAUCUGAAAUGCCUACAACUUUUCCCCUUCCCUUCAUCUCUGUUUUGCAUCUCCGGUAAAUCUCUUCGCAGAAACAAGAACCAGUGUUCCUUUGUAUCACAUUCUCAUUUUCGUUCCCCAGGUUCCCUAUUGACCGAGCUCCUCGGAGAUUCAAAUCAAGUCACCUCUUUCUCCGGACUCAGAAAUGCCGAUAUGACUAUCUCUCUGUCCCUCAAGCAAUUCCCCUUUGAUCCUUCUGAAUGACUAGUUCGACCGCUGUCGAGGUUUCUUCCACCCAGAAGUCGGCGAUUCACUUCUUCCCCAUGCUGCCAUCGCAUGUGCCGCUUCAUUGGCUUCCCGAGGCUCUGAUAGCCAAUGGCGUUGAAGCGGGGACUAUCCAGUGUGGGCGUCCAAAGGAGCAGAAGUUCUGGAUCUCGAUUGCCUAUCGUGAUUCUUUUUUUCUUCUCAAUUCUGACGCUACUUGUUUUCUUUGUCGGUCAAGGGCUUUACAUUUCAAUUCGUCGAUGCAUUGUUAGUCAGGAUCAUUCAGUUUUGAACUUGGUUAUUGUGAAAAAGGGUGAAAUGAUCUUCCUGGACUGACUGACACUGAGAAACCAAGAAUGAGGGGUCCGAAGAGAGCAUCAAAAAUCAGGAAGUUGUUCAACCUGUCUAAGGAGGAUGAUGUUCGGAAGUAUGUUUAUUAAGCUGAUGCAGUUGAUAACUGGAAUGUUGCAGUAAAUUCUAGGAAGCCAGAAGUUAAUAAUGAUGUAGAAGAAGAGAUGUCUGUGAAGCAUCUAACAAUGAAGAAAAGAGUCAUUUGUGAAUUGCAAAAUCAACAGGUUAACCCCACACUUGUUGGCCAUUCAAAGAAGAAAUCCAGUCACUUUCGUGCUUGUGGCUGUAAAGCAGCAAUUGAGGGGAAUAGCCAGCCUUCUCUGCCAACAAGAGAAUCGGAUUUGCUUUUUUGCUUGAAUCUCGACUUUAUAGUCAAUUUGGUGGGUCGGGUUGAUUUUUGGUCGAGUUUCUUGAAGCUUCAAGGUUGUAUGGUCGUGGCUGGCACCAAAUAGAAGAGCAUGUAGGCACCAAAUCUGCAGUUUAAAUUCGAAGCCAUGCUCAAAAGUUUUUCUCUUAAGGCUUAUUGCUUUGAGUUCAUUACAAGAUUUCCUUGAUUAAGUAAAUAUAUUAUAUCUUUUAUUAUUAAGAUUUACUUGAUUAAGAAAAAGUAUUGUAUGUUUUAUUACCUUGCAUAUGUAUUAUUUUAGUUUUGAUUCUAAAUUUUUAUUUUAACUUUAAUAUUUACGAUAUUUUUAGAUUUUAA